Ornithodoros turicata is the source of this 2121-nucleotide long non-coding RNA. RefSeq lists it as uncharacterized. Lineage: Eukaryota; Metazoa; Arthropoda; Arachnida; Ixodida; Argasidae. The transcript has 3 exons. The record is from RefSeq and is a predicted model, not a curated record.
UUGUCUUGCGUUCCAUAUGGUUCCGUAUCCGGUCAGCUGUAAUGGCUGCCAUAUGACGAGCUUGCGAACUUGUGUGAUUCCCGGCUCAUCCUACCUUUUUCGGGUCAUUGUAUUUGGUGUUGGAGUUGUUCGCCAUAACCUGAACGUUUCACCUAUCAUUGCGGCGUACUGUUCUUGAUCUGCUGCAAAGCAACGAACCGCUACGACAGUCACUCGCCUCAGCGAAAUUCUGUCUGCUGCGUAUCAAAGGAGCAUAGGGACCUGAUGAUGUACUGCAAAUGCUGAAGUUGUAUUCUUUGAACCUUCAUCUAAAGAAACAAAGUGUGCUCUCCUGUGGUUCUGAGGGAAAAGCAGUUUCAACAAGAACCCUCCGCUUCAGGAACCCAGUUAUACUUUAUGUGACCCAUCUGAUGGCUCCUGACUAGGCUAUGCCGCUCUGAAGCAUUGAGAUGGCGAAAGGUCGUGGGGUCUGCACCUCUGCUUUCGAAAGAGAAUCAGUUAUUCCACACUGUGCUUACUGGCUUUGCCUCGAGUCUAACAAAUCUGACAUGCCUGAACUGCCUUUUUCAAGGAAGUUUGAAAUAGCAUCCCUUAUGCACCUGCAUUUCAAUUAAGAUCUGUGUUACAAGAAUGACAGACCACACAACAGUGAUGAAAGGUGGAAGUGCUGGAACGAAGAAGCGUUAAUCUGUGUGAAAGGUGCUUUUUAUGUGUCUGAGUCAUGGCCAUAGGUUACAAGCUAAUUUCUGUCCUCAUAAGAGGUGUCAACUAUGCUCUUUCUAUCUACUAACCUGCUCCACUUUAGGGUUCCCUGUAAACUAAUGGAACACAUCAUAUACCAGCACGUUGUUAACCACGUUGAGUCUAUAAAUUUUUUUUUAAAUUCCAGCAUGGCUUUAGAAAAGGGUAUUUAGACAAAAGUAACAUAAUUCGGUCACAGCAUUUUAAACUGUCUUGAUUUCUGCGUUCACGUAGAUGAAGUAUUUUUUUUUUAUUCUGUGAGGGCUUUUGGCACUGUGUUUUAUGCUUGCUUGUUGGCCAAACUAGCCCCAUUAAAAUUUGAUCUUGCUACCAUUAACUGGAUAUGCAGUUUCUUGACUAACGGCAACCAUGCCAACAAUUCGUGAGGAGAACCUACCAUAUCGCCACCAUGCAGCAUUCCUCAGGUUAUAUAUGCACCACAUUUUAAUCAAGUGUGAAGCAAGGCCUUUAGGUGAUCGGUCUUGUAUAAUUACACGUCCCUCUGUUAUUCAACACCACACGGUUCUUCAACCUAUGACAGAUAAAUAAAUAUAUUGCCCAGUAAAUUGUUUACAAGGCUGAUUACCCCAUUUCACCACAUUAACGCAAACAAUUGUUAGAGUAUUGGCCCAGGGUAUGAAGCUUGCCACUAAUCAUCAUUCAAACAAAGUUUGUAAUGUAGAAUCCUUUACUGAAAACACCGACUUAACACAACAAUUGAGAACAAAGAGAGUGAACGUUUCGUCGCCUACCCGGGUGGCAUCAUCGCUACAACAGAGAACAGUCACAAACAACAUCGACGGAGUCAAAUCAGUGGUGUGCAUUCCUUUCAUCCAAGGUGUUUCAUAGGCCAUUUGAAGGGAACUGUGCCCAUCAGGCAUUAAGACUGUGCAUAUAAAGUUAAGUGCACAGACUGUGACACAACCUACAUUGGCAAGACAGACAAAAGACGUGGGAAAAGACUAAAAGAGCACACAAGGGACGUUCCCAAGGCUUCUAAUGCUACUGAAACCAGGACCAAAUUAGUCUACUAUUGUUGGCCUGAUGAACAUGUAUUAAAUUUUGAUGGUGCGGUAACCUUUGCACAUGACUAGCGAUGUGGCCUUAGAAAGUGCUUAGAGUCCUGGUUUAUGCAUCAGCCUGUAAUACAAACAGUGGCCCCCUAUCGGAUGUGUAUGAUGCGCUCUUAGAUAAGUAGGCUGAGGUGCUUGUCUUUGGCCCUUGUUGUACUGAUGAUGCCACCCAGAUAGGCGACAAAACGUUUACACACCGGUUUUAGUCGUUAUGUUAAGCAGUGUUUGCAGUAAAGGAUGCUACAUUAUAAGGUCGUCACCUGGCGUUUGGAAUAUAUUUUCAAAUAAAGUUGUUUUACAAAGCUCA